Molecule: unclassified non-coding RNA, 656 nt
Filed under: uncultured Russula
Lineage: Eukaryota; Fungi; Basidiomycota; Agaricomycetes; Russulales; Russulaceae
Description: sequence contains ITS1, 5.8S rRNA gene and ITS2
Rfam family: 5.8S ribosomal RNA (bases 199-352)
Source: RNAcentral
CAUUAUCGUACAACCGAGGUGCGAGGGCUGUCGCUGACCUUCAAAGGUCGUGCACGCCCAAGCGCUCUCACACAAUCCAUCUCACCCCUUUUGUGCAUCACCGCGUGGGCCCCUCUUUGCAAAGGAGGGCUUGCGUUUUCACAUAAAACUCGAUACAGUGUAGAAUGUUUUUCUUUUGCGGUCACACGCAAUCAAUACAACUUUCAACAACGGAUCUCUUGGCUCUCGCAUCGAUGAAGAACGCAGCGAAAUGCGAUACGUAAUGUGAAUUGCAGAAUUCAGUGAAUCAUCGAAUCUUUGAACGCACCUUGCGCCCCUUGGCAUUCCGAGGGGCACACCCGUUUGAGUGUCGUGAAAUCAUCAAAACCCCUUUCUUUGAUCCCUUUCGUGGUCGGGAAAAGGGAUUUUUGGACUUGGAGGUCUCAUGCUCGCUUUCGCUUUCGAAAGCGAGCUCCUCUUAAAUGAAUUAGUGGGGUCUGCUUUGCUGGUCCUUGGCGUGAUAAGAUGUUUCUACGUUUUGGAUUUGGCACUGUUCCUCGGAUGCCUGCUUCUAACCGUCUCUCUCGAGACAAUGAUGGUGUUUCGGUCACCGGCCAAUACUACGUUGGCGGGGGGGAGGCUGGACCCACAAAAAGAAAAGACCUUGACCUCAAAUC